GUAUCACAUCUCUCCUCUCAAAGAGACAAUUGAAGCACAUAGGAGAUCUCUUGGGGAACAUGGUCCAGCUCAACAUCUGCAAAGGCCACCUCUAUUAGAAGUUCAAAACUUUGACACAGUUAAUCAGUCAUCAGCUUCCAAUAAGGUUAGUCAAGCAACUUUCCUUGGGAGAGAUGACCCAAAACUAACUGCCUUGUUGCAACAAGCUGAAUUGCUGACUACCCUUUCCAAGAAGGUUAAUGCAGAAAAUACCAACCAAAGUCUUGAUGAGGCUUGGAAGGUGCUAAUUUUGUCAGCGCAAAUGAUUUAUAUUCAAUUUGCUUGAAAUGUUAACCUAACUUCUAUUUCAUUGGUGUUGUGAAUCUUUGGAAACUUUGAACCAUUAGGAGCUUCAAGAGUACUUGAUUCAAACUGAAGACAGUG
Molecule: long non-coding RNA, 423 nt
Organism: Zingiber officinale
Lineage: Eukaryota; Viridiplantae; Streptophyta; Magnoliopsida; Zingiberales; Zingiberaceae
Exons: 2
Source: RefSeq, a predicted model, not a curated record